This 523-nucleotide ribosomal RNA is filed under the name uncultured Alphaproteobacteria bacterium. RNAcentral describes it as "bacterial SSU rRNA". It matches the Rfam family "Bacterial small subunit ribosomal RNA", at positions 355 to 896 of the family's 1533-position model. Lineage: Bacteria; Pseudomonadati; Pseudomonadota; Alphaproteobacteria. The record is from RNAcentral.
UAGGGAAUCUUAGACAAUGGGGGAAACCCUGAUCUAGCCAUGCCGCGUGUGUGAUGAAGGCCUUAGGGUCGUAAAGCACUUUCGCCAGAGAUGAUAAUGACAGUAUCUGGUAAAGAAACCCCGGCUAACUCCGUGCCAGCAGCCGCGGUAAUACGGAGGGGGUUAGCGUUGUUCGGAAUUACUGGGCGUAAAGCGCACGUAGGCGGAUUAGUAAGUUAGAGGUGAAAUCCCAGGGCUCAACCCUGGAACUGCCUUUAAUACUGCUAGUCUUGAGUUCGAGAGAGGUAAGUGGAAUUCCAAGUGUAGAGGUGAAAUUCGUAGAUAUUUGGAGGAACACCAGUGGCGAAGGCGGCUUACUGGCUCGAUACUGACGCUGAGGUGCGAAAGUGUGGGGAGCAAACAGGAUUAGAUACCCUGGUAGUCCACACCGUAAACGAUGAAUGCCAGACGUCAGCAAGUAUACUUGUUGGUGUCACACCUAACGGAUUAAGCAUUCCGCCUGGGGAGUACGGUCGCAAGAUUA